RNAcentral lists this ribosomal RNA (550 nucleotides) under uncultured Acidobacteriota bacterium. RNAcentral describes it as "bacterial SSU rRNA". It matches the Rfam family "Bacterial small subunit ribosomal RNA", at positions 355 to 897 of the family's 1533-position model. The record is from RNAcentral. Lineage: Bacteria; Pseudomonadati; Acidobacteriota.
UGGGGAAUUGUUCACAAUGGGCGCAAGCCUGAUGACGCAAUGCCGCGUGGAGGAUGAAGGUCUUCGGAUUGUAAACUCCUGUUGCCAGGGACGAAUGGCUCCGACCUAAUACGUCGGAGAAUGACGGUACCUGGUGAGGAAGCCCCGGCUAACUCUGUGCCAGCAGCCGCGGUAAUACAGAGGGGGCAAGCGUUGUUCGGAAUUACUGGGCGUAAAGGGCGCGUAGGCGGCCCGCUAAGUCGAACGUGAAAUCCCCAGGCUCAACCUGGGAACUGCGUCCGAUACUGGCAGGCUUGAAUCCGGGAGAGGGAUGUGGAAUUCCAGGUGUAGCGGUGAAAUGCGUAGAUAUCUGGAGGAACACCGGUGGCGAAGGCGGCAUCCUGGACCGGUAUUGACGCUGAGGCGCGAAAGCUAGGGGAGCAAACGGGAUUAGAUACCCCGGUAGUCCUAGCCCUAAACGAUGAAUGCUUGGUGUGGCGGGUAUCGAUCCCUGCCGUGCCGAAGCUAACGCAUUAAGCAUUCCGCCUGGGGAGUACGGUCGCAAGGCUGA